Molecule: ribosomal RNA, 753 nt
Filed under: uncultured Pseudomonas sp.
Lineage: Bacteria; Pseudomonadati; Pseudomonadota; Gammaproteobacteria; Pseudomonadales; Pseudomonadaceae
Description: bacterial SSU rRNA
Rfam family: Bacterial small subunit ribosomal RNA
Source: RNAcentral
AUUGAACGCUGGCGGCAGGCCUAACACAUGCAAGUCGAGCGGUAGAGAGAAGCUUGCUUCUCUUGAGAGCGGCGGACGGGUGAGUAAUGCCUAGGAAUCUGCCUGGUAGUGGGGGAUAACGUUCGGAAACGGACGCUAAUACCGCAUACGUCCUACGGGAGAAAGCAGGGGACCUUCGGGCCUUGCGCUAUCAGAUGAGCCUAGGUCGGAUUAGCUAGUUGGUGAGGUAAUGGCUCACCAAGGCGACGAUCCGUAACUGGUCUGAGAGGAUGAUCAGUCACACUGGAACUGAGACACGGUCCAGACUCCUACGGGAGGCAGCAGUGGGGAAUAUUGGACAAUGGGCGAAAGCCUGAUCCAGCCAUGCCGCGUGUGUGAAGAAGGUCUUCGGAUUGUAAAGCACUUUAAGUUGGGAGGAAGGGUUGUAGAUUAAUACUUUGCAAUUUUGACGUUACCGACAGAAUAAGCACCGGCUAACUCUGUGCCAGCAGCCGCGGUAAUACAGAGGGUGCAAGCGUUAAUCGGAAUUACUGGGCGUAAAGCGCGCGUAGGUGGUUUGUUAAGUUGGAUGUGAAAUCCCCGGGCUCAACCUGGGAACUGCAUUCAAAACUGACUGACUAGAGUAUGGUAGAGGGUGGUGGAAUUUCCUGUGUAGCGGUGAAAUGCGUAGAUAUAGGAAGGAACACCAGUGGCGAAGGCGACCACCUGGACUAAUACUGACACUGAGGUGCGAAAGCGUGGGGAGCAAACAGG